This is a long non-coding RNA of Mirounga angustirostris (Northern elephant seal), 753 nucleotides long. RefSeq lists it as uncharacterized. The transcript has 4 exons. NCBI's taxonomy places the organism in Eukaryota, Metazoa, Chordata, Mammalia, Carnivora, Phocidae. The record is from RefSeq and is a predicted model, not a curated record.
GGUAAAAGCAAAAUGAUCAGAGGAGUCACAGAAAUGGCCAUCUGACCUGUCUUCUAAGUGCAAGAUUUGUGAAUUAGUUAUCUCCACAAUGAGUGUAGAAGAUCAGGCUCAAGGACUGUCCCUUCACGAAGCAUCCCUUGCCUGCAUCAUCCUGUGCUCCAUCCAGAGGUGUAUCCUGGUGCCUCUUCACCUUCUAAUCCAGUCCUCCAUGGUCCACUUGACCACACGUCUGGCAACACCUCUCGUUGGGUAAUUUUCCCACUGUCGGGGAGAGAAGAAUGCUCUGCCAGCUUGGAGGGCAGACUUGCUGGAGAAACUUGGGUAAUAACCUCUGCUCUGAUCCAGUUAAAAUUCUUCAUUCCUGUAUGGGGAUUAACAUAAGAAUAAAAAUAAAAUAAAAAAAAAAUUCUUCAUUCCUGUAUGGGGUUUAACAUAAGAAUAAAAAUAAAAUAAAAAAAAAAUUCUUCAUUCCUCCUGGGUGUUUUGUGCUGUUCGCAUCCCAUCAGCUCUGGAUUUUAGAGUUCUGACCUGGAGAAAAUUCUCUGUUCCUGCUUCUGCACUUGCUCAGAGGUCCUUUAUGAAUGAAAUCUUUGCUGUUAUAUUGCCGAGGGGCUGUGCAUUCCUUGAGUCCCCUCUGCACAUGGCUAUGACCUGCCCUAUUUGGUACCAGAUGGUGGCUUCACUGCCCAUUGGCUCGAUAUUGCAAUGCCUCACACCUGCAGGCUCUGUGGUCCCUGGAUGAAUGACUCCAUU